This 403-nucleotide unclassified non-coding RNA is filed under the name uncultured Leifsonia sp. Its description in RNAcentral is "partial 16S-23S ribosomal RNA intergenic spacer". The record is from RNAcentral. Lineage: Bacteria; Bacillati; Actinomycetota; Actinomycetes; Micrococcales; Microbacteriaceae.
UCGGGUGUCCAGGCGCCGGAUCUGAGCGACGUCUCAGCCGGUUAGCUCAUGGGUGGAACAUUGACAUUGGUGCGGAGCCGAACGGCUCGAACUCAGUACGCCUCCUCGGAGGAAGGAACGGUUCGGAUCACUAGGCGCCGCACAUGCACGCUGUUGGGUCCUGAGGGACCGGGCCUCAUCGGAUGAUGAGAACUGGACCUCUGGACCUUUUCUUGUCGGCAUCACUUGCCGAGCGGAGAAGGUACCGCCCGUACUUUGAGAACUACACAGUGGACGCGAGCAUCUUAGAUUCGAACCUUCGGGUUCGGAUCACAAAAGAUGAUCUGAUUUAUUAGAUCAUUGGUCAAUCUGUGUCGAACCUGCUUCGGUAGGUACGACGCCGAUCGAUUCAAACUCAUGUGAU